AGGGCAAAAUGGGUGACUGGGGCUAAGUCGUAACAAGGUAGCCGUACCGGAAGGUGUGGCUGGAAUACCUCCUUU
This 75-nucleotide ribosomal RNA is filed under the name Bacteroidales bacterium. RNAcentral's name for it is "partial 16S ribosomal RNA". It matches the Rfam family "Bacterial small subunit ribosomal RNA", at positions 1459 to 1533 of the family's 1533-position model. Lineage: Bacteria; Pseudomonadati; Bacteroidota; Bacteroidia; Bacteroidales. The record is from RNAcentral.